RNAcentral lists this small RNA (1897 nucleotides) under Pan troglodytes (chimpanzee). RNAcentral describes it as "retained intron". Lineage: Eukaryota; Metazoa; Chordata; Mammalia; Primates; Hominidae. The record is from RNAcentral.
AGCACCAUGAGCCGCCAGCUUCUGCCUGUACUACUGCUGCUGCUGCUCAGGGCUUCGUGCCCAUGGGGUCAGGAACAGGGAGCCAGGAGCCCCUCAGAGGAGCCUCCAGGGGAGGAAAUCCCCAAGGAGGAUGGGAUCUUGGUGCUGAGCCGCCACACCCUGGGCCUGGCCCUGCGGGAGCACCCUGCCCUGCUGGUGGAAUUCUAUGCCCCGUGGUGUGGGCACUGCCAGGCCCUGGCCCCCGAGUACAGCAAGGCAGCUGCCGUGCUCGCGGCCGAGUCAACGGUGGUCACGCUGGCCAAGGUGGACGGGCCCGCGCAGCGCGAGCUGGCUGAGGAGUUUGGUGUGACGGAGUACCCUACGCUCAAGUUCUUCCGCAACGGGAACCGCACGCACCCGGAGGAGUACACAGGUGAGGGGCAGGCCGGUCACGGGGGGGCGGUGGCCAGGCCGAGGCUGAGGGGGACUCCCUGCAGGACCACGGGACGCUGAGGGCAUUGCCGAGUGGCUGCGACGGCGGGUGGGGCCCAGUGCCACGCGGCUGGAGGACGAGGCGGCCGCCCAGGCGCUGAUCGGUGGCCGGGACCUAGUGGUCAUCGGCUUCUUCCAGGACCUGCAGGACGAGGACGUGGCCGCCUUCUUGGCCCUGGCCCAGGACGCCCUGGACAUGACCUUUGGCCUCACAGACCGGCCGCGGCUCUUUCAGCAGUUUGGUCUCAGCAAGGACACUGUGGUUCUCUUCAAGAAGGUAGGUCAGGCCCAGGUGAGGGUUGGGGUCCGGCUGCCGCGCCCGCUGACCCACCUGCUGCUGUCCAGUUUGACGAGGGGCGGGCAGACUUCGCCGUGGACGAGGAGCUUGGCCUGGACCUGGGGGAUCUGUUGCGCUUCCUGGUCACACACAGCAUGCGCCUGGUCACGGAGUUCAAUAGCCAGACGUCUGCCAAGAUCUUCGCGGCCAGGAUCCUCAACCACCUGCUGCUUUUUGUCAACCAGACGCUGGCUGCGCACCGGGAGCUCCUAGCGGGCUUUGGGGAGGCAGCUCCCCGCUUCCGGGGGCAGGUGCUGUUCGUGGUGGUGGACGUGGUGGCCGACAAUGAGCACGUGCUGCAGUACUUUGGCCUCAAGGCUGAGGCAGCCCCCACUCUGCGCUUGGUCAACCUUGAAACCACUAAAAAGUAUGCGCCUGUGGAUGGGGGCCCUGUCACCGCAGCAUCCAUCACUGCUUUCUGCCAUGCAGUCCUCAACGGCCAAGUCAAGCCCUAUCUCCUGAGCCAGGAGAUACCCCCUGAUUGGGAUCAGCGGCCAGUUAAGACCCUCGUGAGCAAGAAUUUUGAGCAGGUGGCUUUUGACGAAACCAAGAAUGUGUUUGUCAAGUUCUGUGAGUGUUGAGGGAGGCAGGGGUGGUGUGGGCUGGGCAGGGGCUGCCCAGAUGGCUGUGCUCAACGGCUCCCAUCCUAGAUGCCCCGUGGUGUACCCACUGCAAGGAGAUGGCCCCUGCCUGGGAGGCAUUGGCUGAGAAGUACCAAGACCACGAGGACAUCAUCAUUGCUGAGCUGGAUGCCACGGCCAACGAGCUGGAUGCCUUCGCUGUGCACAGCUUCCCUACCCUCAAGUACUUCCCAGCAGGGCCAGGUCGGAAGGUGAUUGAAUACAAAAGCACCAGGGAUCUGGAGACUUUCUCCAAGUUCCUGGACAAUGGGGGCGUGCUGCCCAAGGAGGAGCCCCCGGAGGAGCCAGCAGCCCCAUUCCUGGAGCCACCGGCCAACUCCACUAUGGGGUCCAAGGAGGAACUGUAGCUGCCCCCGUCACCCCCCCCCCUUCACUGCUGGACAGGAGCCACCCCCUUGGGUACCAGAGGGAGCUGUGCACUGUGAAUAAAGAAAGAGCUUGGUUCUGG